UUCCAUAAUAAAGUUUUUAUGGUAGUACCUGCUCUAUGUGACGUUAUAAAUGGCCGCAGUAUCUUGACUGUGCAAAGGUAGCAUAAUUAAUUGCCUUAUAAUUGAAGGCUUGUUUGAAUGGUUUGACGUGGUAGUAACGAAUAUUCGAUUUUUAGUUGAAAUUGGUUUAGAGGGCACAGAAUCCUCUAUAUGUUAGUUAGACGGAAAGACCCCAGGAUCUUUCAUUUUUUUGUCUGGGGCAGAUGAGAAUAUUUCAUUUUUAUUAGGACCCUAAAAAGUUUAUUGAGUUAAGUUACCCUGGGGAUAACAGUGUAAUAGUCUAUUAGAGGCCUUAUCGAAUAGACUGUUUGCUACCUCGAUGUUGACUUAGGUAAAUAAGCUGGGCGCAGUAGUCUAGUUUUUUGGUCUGUUCGACCUUUGUUACCUCC
Molecule: ribosomal RNA, 428 nt
Filed under: Nomimoscolex lenha
Lineage: Eukaryota; Metazoa; Platyhelminthes; Cestoda; Proteocephalidea; Monticelliidae
Description: partial 16S ribosomal RNA
Rfam family: Bacterial large subunit ribosomal RNA
Source: RNAcentral